GGAAAGAUGCUCGAGUGGUUGAAGAGGCACGCCUGGAAAGCGUGUAUACGCCAAAAGCGUAUCGGGGGUUCGAAUCCCCCUCUUUCCG
Molecule: transfer RNA, 88 nt
Filed under: Prevotella dentalis
Lineage: Bacteria; Pseudomonadati; Bacteroidota; Bacteroidia; Bacteroidales; Prevotellaceae
Also listed under: 4 other names
Description: tRNA-Ser(gga)
Rfam family: tRNA
About the family: Transfer RNA (tRNA) molecules are approximately 80 nucleotides in length. Their secondary structure includes four short double-helical elements and three loops (D, anti-codon, and T loops). Further hydrogen bonds mediate the characteristic L-shaped molecular structure. tRNAs have two regions of fundamental functional importance: the anti-codon, which is responsible for specific mRNA codon recognition, and the 3' end, to which the tRNAs corresponding amino acid is attached (by aminoacyl-tRNA synthetases). tRNAs cope with the degeneracy of the genetic code in two manners: having more than one tRNA (with a specific anti-codon) for a particular amino acid; and 'wobble' base-pairing, i.e. permitting non-standard base-pairing at the 3rd anti-codon position.
Source: RNAcentral